AAAUUAAAUCAGCAGAGGCAUUUAAUAAGGGGAAAAAUUCAAAGAACCUAAACCCAGCUUUGCCAGCUGUCCAAGGCCUAAUGGAAACAAUGGGCGGUGUUUUGGAACAAAGCAACUGCCUGAAAACGCAGAAGCCUAAUAAUGAAAAGAAAAAAGAAAACCAAAAGUUAUCCUAAACUUAAUUGAAAUGAAAGACUCAAGCCCUAAAGCUUUCCUCUUUUUUCCUUCUUCCAUCACGUAGGCAUCGCCGAGAUCUUACCAUUGAGAAAACUGGUUUCCACCUUGCCUUCUACAUGAACACCAUUUCCUAUACGGAUUUCCGGUCACCGCUACUUAUUCAUUUUGGACUCAGUCCUAACACCUCAUAUUUUCUCCUUUACUAAAAAUUACCUCCCUUAUCCUUUUUUCUAUUGUGGGUUCAACCUUCGGUGGUAUCUCUAAUCUCUUCUACCCAAUAAAUCAGUAAACCGUACUCUUAACCCAGAUGGCCAAAUUUUUUAUAGCCAUGUUUGCCGAGUGGGGAAUGUACCGAAAAGAUGAGCUCCUAAAUCUUAUUACUUUGAGCUUUAUUUCGUUUAAAAUGUCGCAUAUAACUGACCUAUUCUCUUCCUAAUUGUUUAGUUUCUUGAUGACAGUAAGUGAGUCCCUUUCAAUCACUACAUCACCAAAACCCAUUUCCUCUGCGAAGGUCACUGCUUGAAGGCAUUAAACUGCUUCUGCAGUGGUUGAAACUCGAAUAUUAUUUACCUGGUAUACGCACGCACCCAUAACUAGGCCCGUUAUAUGUAAUUAUGAUGCAUGAAAUUGCUAAACAGUUUAGCUACUGGUAUGAUGUGUCGAAGCUAACUUUGACUUAUUCUUCACUUGGGGGUUCCCAAUUUGGUUUAUUAGUAUUGAAUCUGUAAUUUGUGAAACUCUCUAGAUGAUCUAGUUCAACAAUGUAUGCCUUAAUGAACCUCGCAACAUCACACACUCUAUCCUGUAUUCCUUCAUGGUAGAUUUUAUUCCUGUUAAGCCAUAUUGCCCAAAAUGAUAUAGCUAUGUUUGCACAUUGUGAUAUAUCGAUGAUGUUAAAAAGGUUAACUAACCCUUAUAUUUGUUAGUACAAAUCUUCACUGAGGAAAAU
RNAcentral lists this long non-coding RNA (1126 nucleotides) under Gossypium barbadense (sea-island cotton). Its description in RNAcentral is "long non-coding RNA (GBAR_LNC008807)". The record is from RNAcentral. Lineage: Eukaryota; Viridiplantae; Streptophyta; Magnoliopsida; Malvales; Malvaceae.